RNAcentral lists this ribosomal RNA (374 nucleotides) under uncultured bacterium. RNAcentral describes it as "bacterial SSU rRNA". It matches the Rfam family "Bacterial small subunit ribosomal RNA", at positions 30 to 405 of the family's 1533-position model. The record is from RNAcentral.
AUUGAACGCUGGCGGCAUGCCUUACACAUGCAAGUCGAACGGCAGCACGGGAGCAAUCCUGGUGGCGAGUGGCGAACGGGUGAGUAAUAUAUCGGAACGUGCCCAGUCGUGGGGAUAACGUAGCGAAAGCUACGCUAAUACCGCAUACGAUCUAUGGAUGAAAGCGGGGGAUCGCAAGACCUCGCGCGAUUGGAGCGGCCGAUAUCAGAUUAGGUAGUUGGUGAGGUAAAGGCUCACCAAGCCGACGAUCUGUAGCUGGUCUGAGAGGACGACCAGCCACACUGGGACUGAGACACGGCCCAGACUCCUACGGGGGGCAGCAGUGGGGAAUUUUGGACAAUGGGCGCAAGCCUGAUCCAGCAAUGCCGCGUGCA